UUUGAAGUAAAAAGUUGUAACAAGGUUUCCGUAGGUGAACCUGCGGAAGGAUCAUUACCGAGUGAGGGCCCUCUGGGUCCAACCUCCCACCCGUGUUUAUCGUACCUUGUUGCUUCGGCGGGCCCGCCGUUAUGGCCGCCGGGGGGCACCCGCCCCCGGGCCCGCGCCCGCCGAAGACACCUUUGAACGCUGUCUGAAGAUUGCAGUCUGAGCACUUAGCUAAAUCAGUUAAAACUUUCAACAACGGAUCUCUUGGUUCCGGCAUCGAUGAAGAACGCAGCGAAAUGCGAUAAGUAAUGUGAAUUGCAGAAUUCAGUGAAUCAUCGAGUCUUUGAACGCACAUUGCGCCCCCUGGUAUUCCGGGGGGCAUGCCUGUCCGAGCGUCAUUGCUGCCCUCAAGCACGGCUUGUGUGUUGGGCCCCCGCCUCCCGGUCCCGGGGGGCGGGCCCGAAAGGCAGCGGCGGCACGCGUCCGGUCCUCGAGCGUAUGGGGCUUCGUCACCCGCUCUGUAGGCCCUUCCGGCGCCCGCCGGCGACCCCCAUCAAUCUUUCCAGGUGACCUCGGAUCAGNAGGAACCCGUAAUA
RNAcentral lists this ribosomal RNA (584 nucleotides) under Penicillium cf. javanicum 87U. RNAcentral describes it as "partial 18S ribosomal RNA". The stretch from base 233 to 386 matches the Rfam family "5.8S ribosomal RNA". Lineage: Eukaryota; Fungi; Ascomycota; Eurotiomycetes; Eurotiales; Aspergillaceae. The record is from RNAcentral.